AUAACAAGUCACACGAAUUUGUGAAUCACGUAAUGAAAAGAUAUUCUUCAGCGCAAACUGAACUUACCGAAAGCUCAGUGAGAGAAAUGGGUGAGGGGUUAUUUUGUGUAGAAAGUGCCGAGGCCAAGGAUUGUUACUAUGUGGUGAAUUUUGCAAAGCCUAAUUGCACAUGUGAAGACUUCCAAAGGUGGAAAUAUCCAUGCAAACAUUUCUGCGCAAUUUUCAUUUAUUACCCUGGCUGGGACAUUCAUAAGUUGAAUGACAGUUACAAGAACAGCCCUUUCAUUUGUCUCGAUGAGACCUUUGGGUUUGGCUCAAGCAGCAGUUGGUCUGAACCUGCCAGCCCUGUAUCACAAAGUUCAGAGGAUACCAGCAGUGAGGGGGCAGUAAACCAAGGCAGUGACAAUCCCAGAAACUCAACUUCAUCAGAGGAGCAAGAUGCACGGGAAUUAGCAAGGCAGGUCAUAAACCUGACCUACAUGCUUUGCUUGAACAGCUGCAAUCUGAAGUAUCCUACCUCUCUGCUGAAGCAAAUUUAGCUCCAAGAAUAUGUACUCUGUGUUCUUGUGCCACAUUUAAAAGCAGCAUUCAGAUCAGCUUUUUUGGUUCUUUUGUAUUGCAUGGGAGCAAUGGACAAGCCACAAGCAAACAUCAAGGUAUGUGACACAGCUGUCUUCUCCCAGCAGCGAGAGGCAAUGUUGGGAUCAUUCCUCUGAACCUCCUUCUCUCGUGGAAAGUGUAAUUGACACACAAUGCAUACCCAGGUGCGGUAGUCCCUACCGUUACAAAUAAGGUUGCUGUGGCUCAUUACCUGGUUGUGCAUCAUCAAGUCAAGACCGUAUCAGUCCAAGGGAAAAUAUAAUGAACACAAAUGAGUGAGUGCUCAGCUAAAGUUUCAGACAAAUGGCUGAAUUUUCCAGGUUUUCUGUACAGUGAACAAAUUACCACAUGGAGACAAAAGUUGUUGCAGAAGUGGCCUUGGUGUUCAAGUAGGACAGAAAGGCAAAUUUCAUGAUUUUUUUUAAAAUCAUGAUGCUAUUACAUCAUCCUCAGAAUAAGAUGUAGCUACUGCACACAUUCUCAAAGUCUGUUAAUGUUUAUAGUGCUGUAGGUCAGGUUUAUAACCAGCCUAGCUAACUGCCUUUCAUCUUGUUCCUCUGAUGAAGUUGAGUUUCUGGGAUUGGCACUGCCUUGGUUUACUGCCUCCUCACUGCUGGUAUCCUCUGAACUUUGUAAUACAGGACUGGCAGAUUCAGACCAACUGCUGCUUGAGCCAAACCCAAAGGUCCCAUCGAGACAAAUGAAAGGGCUGUUCUUGUAACUGUCAUUCAACUUAUGAAAGUCCCAGCCAGGGUAAUAAAUGAAAAUUGCGCAGAAAUGUUCGCAUGGAAGUAUUCACAUGUGCAAUUAGGCUUUGCAGAAUUCACCACAUAGUAACAAUCCUUGGCCUCAGCACGUUCUACACAAAAUAACCCCUCACCCAUUUAUUUCACUGAGCUUUCGGUAAGUCCAGUGUGCGCUGAAGAAUAUAUUUUCAUUACGUGAUUCACAAAUUCGUGUGACUUGUUAUGCAAGAAGUGAGGAAUCUCUCUGCUGUAAGAUUUCACAGCUGAAUUCUUCAGACAAUAUUUUUUAAACAGGCUAGGGAGGAAAUCAUUUAUUAAAACUUUAACAACACCUGUCAAUGUUAUAUCUGCUGAAUGUCUAAGAAAAAAUGUUUCACUCUUUUAUUUAGUGAUUCAACACCAUUAGUAGUAGUUAUAUUGGCGAAGAAAUUCUCCUUGUCCUCAUAAGCCUUCACCCACCUUUCAGACACUGAAAGCCAUUGCUUAUUAAAAUAAUCAAGUGCACCAGAAUUUCUAGUUAAUAAUUCAUGAGAUUGAAGGUUUUGUUUUGCAGUUAAGAAUUGUUCUUCAGAUGGUGACUACAAUUUCUUCCCACAGCUUCAGAAUUUGCUCACUAUCUCCCGGUACAUCUAAAUUGUUCUUUUUGCUAAGCCACCAUUGCCAGGCUUGCUUUCGAUGAAAUAAACAAAGAUAAACCCUUGACAUUGGAAAUGUUCCUAUGAUUGCCCAUAUCUCAGGCUCAGAGAAAUCUGUAACCCAUGAAAUUGGAUUCCAAUCUGGGUUCCGUGCCUUGAAAAUUUCUAGAGCCUCUUUAAUUGAUGCAGUGUUUUCUACUUGAAUGAAGAAUAUCCCACCUACUAAAUAGCAUACAUUAGCUCUCACUACCAAGAAAAAUAAUGGAAUGUCAUACUUCGUUGUCUUGUAUGUUGCAUCAAGCAAACAUACCCUAAACCCUACCAUACCUUUUCAAAAGUUCCCUUUGCCACUUGUGCAUAAGCAAUGGCUGCACUUUUCCAUUGUCAUCUGUAAACGGUCUGAAAAAAAUCUCUCACCCUUAGAUUCCUUUUCCCACCCAUUAAAUUGAUUCCUUAAUGCAUCUUGGUCAAUAAUAGUUUUCUUCAAAUCAAACAGAGCCCGAUACAUAUGGCUAUAAAUUGUACUAUCUGUUGGGUGAAACAUUAUGUUCAUCCGAUUUGGUCUGUUCCAGCAACACUAAAGUGCACAAACCCCGAAAGUGUUAACGAACAAACUUUAGUUAAGUUUUAUUUGCAGCAAGUGUGUUUCUGUAUUGCAUCCUGGUCACUCACUGAUUUCCUUACAACAAAUAAGCUCUGAGCACAUGGGUGUAAGUUGUUUAAUCUGUGUGGUAAAACAAUAUUUGAGAAAAGGGUUUUCAUUUAUAAAACAGUAUCAACUCAAAAAACUUAUGUACAUUGCUCAUAAUUUGUUGUGUAGUCAGAAUACACAUGUUGGAAUGAAUAAAUUCAAUUAUGUAAUUAUCAUUUCCUUUGGCAAUGAAUCAUAUGAGCUAAAUGUGACAUUAGAGGGAAUAGCAAUUUUCAAAUCAUAUUUUUCAGUGCAUACUCUAAUGUGUGCAUUUUCCUUUAAGCUUACACGCAAUCUGUUGUUCAAAAUGACUAGUUGUUAGUGUUUUUAAAAUGUUUAUACUAUUGUACAUGUCAACGUAUUUUAUGUUUUGCAUUUAUGUAAGCACAUAUGGACUAUGUAUGUGAAUUGGACAUAUGAAGAAAAAUUAUCCUUUUUGAGUGAAAACUAAACUCCAUGUAUUUCCUAUUACAGAUAAUAAA
Long non-coding RNA from Schistocerca cancellata (South American locust), 3154 nucleotides. RefSeq lists it as uncharacterized. The transcript is spliced from 5 exons. The record is from RefSeq and is a predicted model, not a curated record. Lineage: Eukaryota; Metazoa; Arthropoda; Insecta; Orthoptera; Acrididae.